UUACGCUAGUAUAUACUAAGUCUAUGGUUAUUGUUUAUUGUAGUGUUAUUUUAAUUAAACAAUAAUUUACAUCUCCUUUUAUAAUUCAUAGCAUUUGGAUUACAGCGCAAAAGACGGUCUUAUUUUAUUGAAGGCUAAAACGAUCGACCAAGUUAAUUAAAAGAGACAAAACGAUACGUUAUUGUGAAAUUCAGGGUUAAAAUGUUGAAAUAUAUAUUAAUCAGUGUACCCACUUGUGGGAUGCCGCAUUUAUUAUUUUGCCUUGCACUUUCUUACUCGUCUCUCAUUGUAAAUAGUGUUCUUCUAUUGGCAGCAGCCCUAGACCGAGAAUUAUUUAAAUGGAGGAAAAAAGACGAGAAUAGUUUAAGAUACUAUUUUUUAAUUGUUUAUCAUUCGACAUUAUUGACUAUAUAUCUUAUAGCUGUCAUAGCACUCCAUCUGAAAAUCGUAAUUUUAAUUAAAAUUUACGCUUAUUACCAUCUCAUUUCGAUAAUUUAUUUUUUUAUCGCAAUGAUUUACUUUUUAAUAAUCGGGUGGUAUCUAUACGGCUUCCUUUCAAUCAUUGCAAUAGUUGGUUUCUAUUUAUUAGCAUGUCGUGUAAGAGGUGCUUAUUUGGAGAUAGAAGAAGAGAAAAAAUAAUUUUAUUAUUGUUGUAUUAUAAAAUUUAUUUUUUUAGGCACUCACUAUAUAGUCAACCAUUUAUUUAUUGAAUAAAAUAUUUA
This is a long non-coding RNA of Plutella xylostella (diamondback moth), 722 nucleotides long. RefSeq lists it as uncharacterized. Lineage: Eukaryota; Metazoa; Arthropoda; Insecta; Lepidoptera; Plutellidae. The record is from RefSeq and is a predicted model, not a curated record.